GCAAGUCGAGGGGUAACAUUGUGCUUGCACAGAUGACGACCGGCGCACGGGUGCGUAACGCGUAUAGAAUCUACCUUACACUGAGGGAUAGCCUUUGGAAACGAAGAUUAAUACCUCAUGGUAUCAUUGAAUGGCAUCAUUUUAUGAUUAAAGGUUACGGUGUAAGAUGACUAUGCGUCCUAUUAGCUUGUUGGUAAGGUAACGGCUUACCAAGGCAACGAUAGGUAGGGGCCCUGAGAGGGGGAUC
This 247-nucleotide ribosomal RNA is filed under the name uncultured bacterium. RNAcentral describes it as "partial 16S ribosomal RNA". It matches the Rfam family "Bacterial small subunit ribosomal RNA", at positions 57 to 305 of the family's 1533-position model. The record is from RNAcentral.